This 74-nucleotide transfer RNA is filed under the name Candidatus Pacearchaeota archaeon. RNAcentral describes it as "tRNA-Asn". It matches the Rfam family "tRNA". From Rfam's summary of the family: Transfer RNA (tRNA) molecules are approximately 80 nucleotides in length. Their secondary structure includes four short double-helical elements and three loops (D, anti-codon, and T loops). Lineage: Archaea; Nanobdellati. The record is from RNAcentral.
GUCUCAGUAGCUCAGUCAGGUAGAGCACAUGACUGUUAAUCAUGGGGUCGGAGGUUCGAGUCCUCCCUGAGACG